UGGACCCGGCGCCGUGCCCCCAGAUCUGCAUCGGAAUGCAGAAAAGAUCUUAAAAAAAAAAAAAAAAAGUUUUGAAUUCCUCAAUGAUUUUUCUUCUGGAAAGGCAGCUUAGGAUAAUUAUUUCAGCUUUAUUGAGGGCAGAUUAGUUGAAGUCUGGGCGCUGCGUUUCAAUACGCGUUGUACACGGGCCGACAAUGUGG
Molecule: long non-coding RNA, 200 nt
Filed under: Saimiri boliviensis boliviensis (Bolivian squirrel monkey)
Lineage: Eukaryota; Metazoa; Chordata; Mammalia; Primates; Cebidae
Description: Six3os1 conserved region 7 (ENSSBOG00000015703.1)
Rfam family: Six3os1 conserved region 7
Source: RNAcentral